AUUGAACGCUGGCGGCAGGCUUAACACAUGCAAGUCGAACGAGUGGCGGACGGGUGAGUAAUGCUUGGGCAUCUAGCUUAUGGAGGGGGAUAACUACGGGAAACUGUAGCUAAUACCGCGUACCAUAGGAUGAGCCCAAGUGGGAAUAGGUAGUUGGUUAGGUAAAGGCUCACCAAGCCGACGAUCUCUAGCUGGUCUGAGAGGAUGACCAGCCACAAGUGGACUGAGACACGGACCAGACUCCUACGGGAGGCAGCCGUGGGGAAUAUUGCGCAAUGGGGGAAACCUGACGCAGCCAUGCCGCGUGAAUGAAGAAGGCCUUCGGGUUGUAAAGUUCUUUCGGUAGCGAGGCGUUAACUACAGAAGAAGCACCGGCUAACUCCGUGCCAGCAGCCGCGGUAAUUC
RNAcentral lists this ribosomal RNA (405 nucleotides) under uncultured bacterium. RNAcentral's name for it is "partial 16S ribosomal RNA". It matches the Rfam family "Bacterial small subunit ribosomal RNA", at positions 30 to 526 of the family's 1533-position model. The record is from RNAcentral.